GCGGCCGAUAUCAGAUUAGCUAGUUGGUGGGGUAAAAGCCCACCAAGGCGACGAUCUGUAGCUGGUCUGAGAGGACGACCAGCCACACUGGAACUGAGACACGGUCCAGACUCCUACGGGAGGCAGCAGUGGGGAAUUUUGGACAAUGGGCGCAAGCCUGAUCCAGCAAUGCCGCGUGCAGGAUGAAGGCCUUCGGGUUGUAAACUGCUUUUGUACGGAACGAAACGGUUCCUUUUAAUACAAGGGGCUAAUGACGGUACCGUAAGAAUAAGCACCGGCUAACUACGUGCCAGCAGCCGCGGUAAUACGUAGGGUGCGAGCGUUAAUCGGAAUUACUGGGCGUAAAGCGUGCGCAGGCGGUUAUAUAAGACAGAUGUGAAAUCCCCGGGCUCAACCUGGGACCUGCAUUUGUGACUGUAUAGCUAGAGUACGGUAGAGGGGGAUGGAAUUCCGCGUGUAGCAGUGAAAUGCGUAGAUAUGCGGAGGAACACCGAUGGCGAAGGCAAUCCC
RNAcentral lists this ribosomal RNA (510 nucleotides) under uncultured bacterium. RNAcentral describes it as "bacterial SSU rRNA". It matches the Rfam family "Bacterial small subunit ribosomal RNA", at positions 226 to 728 of the family's 1533-position model. The record is from RNAcentral.